GAGGRAUACCAGAAGUAGGUAGCUCAACCGCAAGGAAAGCGCUYACCACGGUAUGUUUCAUGACUGRGGUGAAGUCGUAACAAGGUAGCCGUAGGUGAACCUGCAGAAGGAUCA
RNAcentral lists this ribosomal RNA (114 nucleotides) under uncultured eukaryote. RNAcentral describes it as "partial small subunit ribosomal RNA". The record is from RNAcentral.